RNAcentral lists this transfer RNA (69 nucleotides) under Parasa lepida. RNAcentral describes it as "tRNA-Ser". The record is from RNAcentral. Lineage: Eukaryota; Metazoa; Arthropoda; Insecta; Lepidoptera; Limacodidae.
AAUUAAUGAGCUUGUAAAUAAGCAUUUGUUUUGAAAACAUAAGAAAGAAAUACUAUAUUCUAUUAAUUU